Molecule: ribosomal RNA, 550 nt
Filed under: uncultured Glomus
Lineage: Eukaryota; Fungi; Glomeromycota; Glomeromycetes; Glomerales; Glomeraceae
Description: SSU rRNA
Rfam family: Eukaryotic small subunit ribosomal RNA
Source: RNAcentral
UGGGGGGCAAGUCUGGUGCCAGCAGCCGCGGUAAUUCCAGCUCCAAUAGCGUAUAUUAAAGUUGUUGCAGUUAAAAAGCUCGUAGUUGAAUUUCGGGAUUUGUCAGUUGGUCGGGCUUCACUGUCCGUAUUGACUUGAUGGAUUCUUACCUUCUGAAUAACCAGCAUGCUAUUAAGUUAGUGCGUUGGGGAAGCAGAUCUAUUACCUUGAAAAAAUUAGAGUGCUUAAAGCGAGCUAGUGCUUGAAUAGAUUAGCAUGGAAUAAUAAAAUAGGACGGCAUGGUUCUAUUUUGUUGGUUUCUAGGAUCACCGUAAUGAUUAAUAGGGAUAGUUGGGGGCAUUAGUAUUCAAUUGUCAGAGGUGAAAUUCUUGGAUUUAUUGAAGACUAACUUCUGCGAAAGCAUUUGCCAAGGAUGUUUUCAUUAAUCAAGAACGAAAGUUAGGGGGUCGAAGACGAUCAGAUACCGUCGUAGUCUUAACCAUAAACUAUGCCGACUAGGAAUCGGACGAUGUUAAUUUUAUAAUGACUCGUUCGGCACCUUACGGGAAAC